GCGGGAAUAGCUCAGUUGGUAGAGCACGACCUUGCCAGGUCAGGGUCAUUCGAGUCCCGUUCCCGCUCCA
RNAcentral lists this transfer RNA (70 nucleotides) under Escherichia coli. RNAcentral describes it as "tRNA-OTHER". It matches the Rfam family "tRNA". Rfam says of the family: Transfer RNA (tRNA) molecules are approximately 80 nucleotides in length. Their secondary structure includes four short double-helical elements and three loops (D, anti-codon, and T loops). The record is from RNAcentral. Lineage: Bacteria; Pseudomonadati; Pseudomonadota; Gammaproteobacteria; Enterobacterales; Enterobacteriaceae.